Molecule: ribosomal RNA, 526 nt
Filed under: uncultured bacterium
Lineage: Bacteria
Description: bacterial SSU rRNA
Rfam family: Bacterial small subunit ribosomal RNA
Source: RNAcentral
UGGGGAAUAUUGCGCAAUGGGCGAAAGCCUGACGCAGCAACACCGCGUGAGGGAUGACGGCCUUCGGGUUGUAAACCUCUUUCAGCUCCGACGAAGCGAAAGUGACGGUAGGAGCAGAAGAAGCACCGGCUAACUACGUGCCAGCAGCCGCGGUAAUACGUAGGGUGCAAGCGUUGUCCGGAAUUAUUGGGCGUAAAGAGCUCGUAGGCGGUCCGUUGCGUCUGCCGUGAAAACCCGGAGCUCAACUCCGGGCCUGCGGUGGAUACGGGCGGACUAGAGUCCGGUAGGGGAGACUGGAAUUCCUGGUGUAGCGGUGGAAUGCGCAGAUAUCAGGAGGAACACCGGUGGCGAAGGCGGCUCACUGGCUCGAUACUGACGCUGAGGUGCGAAAGUGUGGGGAGCAAACAGGAUUAGAUACCCUGGUAGUCCACGCCGUAAACGAUGAGCACUCGGUGCCGCGGGUAUCGACCCCUGCGGUGCCUGAGCUAACGCAUUAAGUGCUCCGCCUGGGGAGUACGGUCGCAGG